Molecule: long non-coding RNA, 2984 nt
Organism: Daphnia pulicaria
Lineage: Eukaryota; Metazoa; Arthropoda; Branchiopoda; Diplostraca; Daphniidae
Exons: 2
Source: RefSeq, a predicted model, not a curated record
UAGUAUAGAUAUCAGGUCAAGGUAAAAUUGCCAUGUGAUUAUUAUAAUUUUGCCAUCGAGCAGAAUAUGCUACUGUUUUCGAACUUGUUUCCUAAUAAGAUUAUAAAACAGAUAUCCAGAUUAGGUUAUAUAAUAGUUAAAGCUGAAAGCGUAAUAUAUUUGAAAGUGAUCCAAAAAGCACCAUAAAAGAAAUCUCCGGUUCGGCCCUAAGCUAUUUUAGGUCUCGAUGAAAAGAAUGUAUUUCGGUAUGUUAGCUGAGACUGAUGAGCUAAAUUGAUCCGAGGGCUGUGUAUAGGUCUCCAAAGGAACUACUGUUUUUUUAAACUAGUAAGAGACCAGCAGGAGUGAGACCAGAAUACAAAAGGGAACUAGUAUAACUAGAGGGCACAAGAAAGAAAGAAAAAGCCUUAGGCUCUGAGUGAGACCGUGAAGGGACAUAAGACCUAUAAAUAUAUAAUGAAACCGUAGUACUAGCCAAGCUAUGUAAAGCGGGUAUUCUUACAUCAUUCUUCCGGAGUUUAAAAUAUUUUCAUUCGUUUAAUUUCGAAAUGCGGGUAACCGUUAUAACCGCUAGCCUGCUGGGAAUAUUCAUGAAUGGGUGGUAUUUUCCAUUAAAUAAAAACAUUUUUUAAGGAUGUUAUAUUAGAGUCAAUUUAAGCAUUGCCAAUUUCGCGCCAAUCCGCUAAAAAAAUUGGAAUUCAGGCCUGGCCAAUCAACUGUUUAUUUUUAUUUUCUAAGUAGAUUACUAGGCAACUAGCCAAAACAAAUUUUUUUCGAAACGUGUUUGUAUUUCAGUCGAUUUCAGUUAUGUUUGAACGGAUAAAAAAGCGAUAAGAGUUAUAACGACUGAAAACUAAUACUUUGAUAAGAGAGGAAUGCAUCCCCAUCUUUUGAUGGGAAAUGGAAACAAAAUUUAAAUUUCCGUUUAUUUUCUUUCUUAACGAAUGGAAAAAUACCCCCAGAGAUUUUUAUUGCGCCAAAGCUAACGACUUCCUCGCAGCGUUUUCAGUAAACGCCCAUCAUCUACCUUUUAGCACGCAGAUAUGCAAAUAACCGACACGAGUUAUAUCAGCUGAAAUAUUAUUAUUAAAGAGAUGAUAUCAACCAAUUAUUUACAAAUCAAUGGGUUAGAUACAAAGGUCAUAUUCUCAUCUCGCGCAAUUACAAAAUUUAAAAAUAAUAUGCGAAAAAGGAUUUUUGCGCGGUAAAUCAAGUUUGACGAUUUUGCCGCUUGGAGGCGCGAGGAGACUACAUUGAAGGCGGUCGUUCAAAGUAUCUUCGGGAGAAGUAGGUGUGUCGGCCAGAAGACAGAAUCACAAGAGCACGAGUAUAUAAAGAGAAAUAUAAUUUCAAAUCGAACUGGAACGGAAAGUUUACUAGUCCAUUAGCUUUUAAUUGAAUCAACCUUCCCAUAUAACAGUACUUAUCCGGAUUGGAUUCCGUUUCGUGGUGGGGCAGCGUUACUUGUAUCGAGCACGAGCACAAUAGACGAGCUAUGGCUAGUAGCCUUGUCACUUUUGCGGUUAUUAAAUGACGUGCCACUUGAUGUGGUUUCCUGUGUAAGUUAACUAUAACUGGACUGUUACUACGACAACGACAACAUGGUUUUUAAUUGAUGUCGCCGCAGGGAGCAAGUAAUAGCGGAGAAAGGUAGGCAUACAAAUUCUGUUCCAGUUUCCAGUGCGGUAUCAAUGGCAACCAUUGUUUUCGACUCGUUCCUAAAAUUCCUGUAUUAUAGAGCUGCUAUACUGCACUAAUUUCAGUGGCGCAGUUGGUCAGGCGAGGCAGCGAAAUUUUUUACAGCUAUCUUGCCAUCAGUGAAUUCCUUCCUUUUUUUGGAAGAAAUGUCACCUCAUGCAACCUGCUUCAUCCACCAAUUUUCAUUACUUAAAUCGAAGAGGAAAUUUGCAUUUCAGAAACUAUAAAGAACCCCAUAAGAUUAAACCAUUCGUACGGUUGGAAUCAAAGUUAAUUAAAAAAAAAAGCCUAAUUUUGAACCUAGUUAUACAAAUUGAGUUCCAGCAAGAAUGGAACACGGAUCACAAUAUUUGUCCCAAGAGGUGUGUGCGAAACAGCCGCUUCGGGUUUGCUGCUCUCAACGGAACCCAUUUAAGUGAAAGUUGUCUAACAGGGGAACGAGGAAUAAGUGUCGCAAUCUAUAACCUGUCGUCGUUCGACUGAUGCAAUAACAUUUCACCACAUAGACGUCAGUGGUGAAGUUGAAUUUUUAUAUGCUCGACCAUUUUCUUCAAUAAGGAAUAAAAGGUUGGUUAUGAAAACACAAUUGAGAAAUGUGGAAUUCAGGAUCGACUUCGGCACCCCUGGCCAAGGGGAAAAAGUUCCUUCAAAAAUUGCUGUACUCGCAACACGUUGACAAAGAAAAGGACAUGGCCAGCGAAAUACCCGAGCAAUCCCUUCACGAAUAUUUAAUAGCUGACCGAAAAGAAUUUUCUAACCCGGACUUCAGAGAGUACCUAAGGAAUCUGAUAAAAAAUCUCUUAAUUUUAAAAUCAUCGCUCAAAGAUAUUAUCAUCCACGCCACAGUCUUCUCCAAUCCUCUUCCAAUCCCUCUGAAAUCGGGUGUCACCAUUAUUCACGCUUUCGUCGUGUUCAAAACGGAGAGCCAAAUGAAUUCCAAAGUGACGUGGUGGUCAUCUCUAGAAAAGAAUGGGAAGUACAUUGUUCUGCAGCAAUCACUGGAAAAGGAUGACGUCACCCAGAAAUUAUACAACGCUGAAAAGAAGGAUCACGUCAAAAGACUUGAGCCGGUGAAAACCCAGAAAAGUGCGAGAGGCAAUUAAAAAAAUUUAAAAUGUUUUCUGCAUCCAUUUGGGAUACUAGUCACUAGUCAGAUAAGCAGUCCGUAUCAUCGUCUGAUUUCCAAUUGCCAAAAUUUCGCAUCUUUCGUCUUCGAAAAAUCAACUUUUCAUGAGAAAAAAGUGGUCGACGCCGAUCAGUGCUGCGGUCGGCCGAAUUGGAUUUAG